Molecule: non-coding RNA, 84 nt
Organism: Morchella snyderi
Lineage: Eukaryota; Fungi; Ascomycota; Pezizomycetes; Pezizales; Morchellaceae
Source: the annotation of a GenBank genome assembly
GGUUGCGUGGUGUAGUUGGUUAUCACACUUGCCUCACAUUCUGUGUUUCGCAAGUGGUCCCCGGUUCGAGCCCGGGCGCAAUCA